GUGUUACACAGGCCACAAGUAAAAUCAGCCCAUGCUGGUAUGAUGUAACUUUCUGGCAGCUUCAGGUUUUGCUCUUCUCUUGCUUGCUGACCCACAGCCUGUACCAAGGCUUAUCAUACUCUGGCUGUUAGAAAAAAACUUCCUGAAAGUUUGCAAUACCACUGGGAGAGUGAGAACAUACACUCUUUUGUUCCUCUGCCUCCAGUCUAGGAAGAAAUACUUGCAGAUUUCCUGGUUUAGGAAAAUAGAAGUUAUUCAGUGUGACAGAAAACAUGUCUGAAAUUACAAAUCUCCUGUCAACAGGAUUCUUAAAUUAAUCGGUCUGCUCUUUGAAGCUUUUUCUUCUUCAGUAUAAAGAAGUUUAUGAGCUCAAAUGUCUUGCCCUCAUAACAUGUUAUGUGAAAGCACAAAGCAACUUAUAUAACAACAGUGUAAUUUAGAACUUAUAUCACGUCUGAGACUAGGCAAGAAGAUUACUUUGAAAAAUGAAGACUUAAACAUUUAUGGAGAUUCAAUGAAGCAAAAUAUUUAUUGAAAUAUAUUGAUUUUCAUUAGAAUGCUAUUGUGAAGAAAAUUGUGACUUUCUACUUAAAAGUAAUUGGUGGGGAAAAGUUGUAUAACAUUUGACAGGUAUAAUUCAGGCAGAGAGCUAUUGUUUUAUUACUUGUUUUUUUCAGAUGAAUAAAUGAAUAUUUAAUUGCAACUAUGUAGCUAGCUAAGAAGAAAAAUUAUUCAAAGAUUAGAUUUAACUCGAGUCAUAUCUCAAAAUUAUUGCACAAUCAUAUAAGCCAUGCCUGUAAAUCUCUUUUUGCAA
Molecule: non-coding RNA, 814 nt
Organism: Taeniopygia guttata (zebra finch)
Lineage: Eukaryota; Metazoa; Chordata; Aves; Passeriformes; Estrildidae
Source: RefSeq, a predicted model, not a curated record